RNAcentral lists this ribosomal RNA (245 nucleotides) under uncultured bacterium. RNAcentral's name for it is "partial 16S ribosomal RNA". It matches the Rfam family "Bacterial small subunit ribosomal RNA", at positions 796 to 1041 of the family's 1533-position model. The record is from RNAcentral. RNAcentral also lists the same sequence under 1 other name.
CACGCUGUAAACGAUGAUUACUGGGUGUAGGGAGUAUCGACUCUCUCUGUGCCGAAGCAAACGCGAUAAGUAAUCCACCUGGGGAGUACGGCCGCAAGGCUAAAACUCAAAGGAAUUGACGGGGACCCGCACAAGCAGUGGAGUAUGUGGUUUAAUUCGAGGCAACGCGAAGAACCUUACCAGGGUUUGACAUCCUGCGCAAGACCUAGAGAUAGGUUGUUCCUUCGGGACGCAGAGACAGGUGG